AAGUGAGAAUGCCGGUGUGAGUAGCGAAAGACGGGUGAGAAUCCCGUCCACCGAUUGACUAAGGUUUCCAGAGGAAGGCUCGUCCGCUCUGGGUUAGUCGGGUCCUAAGCUGAGGCCGACAGGCGUAGGCGAUGGAUAACAGGUUGAUAUUCCUGUACCACCUAUAAUCGUUUUAAUCGAUGGGGGGACGCAGUAGGAUAGGCGAAGCGUGCGAUUGGAUUGCACGUCUAAGCAGUAAGGCUGAGUAUUAGGCAAAUCCGGUACUCGUUAAGGCUGAGCUGUGAUGGGGAGAAGACAUUGUGUCUUCGAGUCGUUGAUUUCACACUGCCGAGAAAAGCCUCUAGAUAGAAAAUAGGUGCCCGUACCGCAAACCGACACAGGUAGUCAAGAUGAGAAUUCUAAGGUGAGCGAGCGAACUCUCGUUAAGGAACUCGGCAAAAUGACCCCGUAACUUCGGGAGAAGGGGUGCUCUUUAGGGUUAACGCCCAGAAGAGCCGCAGUGAAUAGGCCCAAGCGACUGUUUAUCAAAAACACAGGUCUCUGCUAAACCGUAAGGUGAUGUAUAGGGGCUGACGCCUGCCCGGUGCUGGAAGGUUAAGAGGAGUGGUUAGCUUCUGCGAAGCUACGAAUCGAAGCCCCAGUAAACGGCGGCCGUAACUAUAACGGUCCUAAGGUAGCGAAAUUCCUUGUCGGGUAAGUUCCGACCCGCACGAAAGGCGUAACGAUUUGGGCACUGUCUCAACGAGAGACUCGGUGAAAUCAUAGUACCUGUGAAGAUGCAGGUUACCCGCGACAGGACGGAAAGACCCCGUGGAGCUUUACUGUAGCCUGAUAUUGAAAUUCGGCACAGCUUGUACAGGAUAGGUAGGAGCCUUUGAAACGUGAGCGCUAGCUUACGUGGAGGCGCUGGUGGGAUACUACCCUAGCUGUGUUGGCUUUCUAACCCGCACCACUUAUCGUGGUGGGAGACAGUGUCAGGCGGGCAGUUUGACUGGGGCGGUCGCCUCCUAAAAGGUAACGGAGGCGCUCAAAGGUUUCCUCAGAAUGGUUGGAAAUCAUUCAUAGAGUGUAAAGGCAUAAGGGAGCUUGACUGCGAGACCUACAAGUCGAGCAGGGUCGAAAGACGGACUUAGUGAUCCGGUGGUUCCGCAUGGAAGGGCCAUCGCUCAACGGAUAAAAGCUACCCCGGGGAUAACAGGCUUAUCUCCCCCAAGAGUUCACAUCGACGGGGAGGUUUGGCACCUCGAUGUCGGCUCAUCGCAUCCUGGGGCUGUAGUCGGUCCCAAGGGUUGGGCUGUUCGCCCAUUAAAGCGGUACGCGAGCUGGGUUCAGAACGUCGUGAGACAGUUCGGUCCCUAUCCGUC
Molecule: ribosomal RNA, 1364 nt
Filed under: Staphylococcus aureus
Lineage: Bacteria; Bacillati; Bacillota; Bacilli; Caryophanales; Staphylococcaceae
Description: partial 23S ribosomal RNA
Rfam family: Bacterial large subunit ribosomal RNA
Source: RNAcentral